Molecule: ribosomal RNA, 253 nt
Filed under: uncultured bacterium
Lineage: Bacteria
Description: partial 16S ribosomal RNA
Rfam family: Bacterial small subunit ribosomal RNA
Source: RNAcentral
UACAGAGGUGGCAAGCGUUGUUCGGAAUUACUGGGCGUAAAGGGCGCGUAGGCGGUCUUGUAAGUCUCGUGUGAAAUCCCUCGGCUUAACUGAGGAACUGCACGGGAUACUGCUUGACUUGAGUUCGGGAGAGGGAAGCGGAAUUCCGGGUGUAGCGGUGAAAUGCGUAGAUAUCCGGAGGAACACCGGUGGCGAAGGCGGCUUCCUGGACCGACACUGACGCUGAGGCGCGAAAGCUGGGGGAGCAAACGGG